CAACGGUGUGGCUGUCUUAGUAAUUACCUUAAUGAGAUAACACCUUUCCUUCCCUCAACCUACUCAUUAUCACGCCUCUUGUUCAAAUUUCAGCUAUAAAGAGCUAUACUUAAAAAAAAAAAAAAAAAAAAAAAAGAAGAAAGAAAAAGAAAAAGAUGAUGUGGGGAGAAGUCUGAAAUUUGUUUGAGGUCUUGUCCCUUAAAACAAGGACCUUACACGGAUCACUGGCAUACAAAGAGAAACAUACACCCAUUCCAGGAAAGGCUGGUAGAAGUAACCAAACAUCUGGGGUACCCCUUAAUUAUUCUUGGUUGGCUCCUUUAGCUUGACCUGUAGGGAUGUGAGGGUGUCAAAGUGAUGAAUUUUAAGAUGUUGGGCUGUGAAGACGUGCAGCUGCAAGACUGAUGGAUUUAGGAAGGGGAUGGUAACAAGGUUAGCUGCAUGUGAAGUGUGAAUUGAGAUUUUUGCAAAGAGACUGUGAUUGCAGAUGGGCAUAAUGUUGUACCCUUGCAUGAAAUCUUGCUAUUAUUGUAUAAUGGUCAGACAGAGUGUGAAAUGACUUACUACUUUACUUUUACUCUUUAAUGAAGUUGGGUAGGGGAGGAGAACUACCAGGAAAUCGAUAGUGGUUGUGAGCGGAAACUCUAUGACAGGUGCUGAGACAUUAAAUAUUUAUUUAGCUUUUUGCUCCCUUCCUUCCCUUCUCCCCUCCCUGAUUUUUUUGCUGUAUCAGAACGCAAACAAAAAUACAAGACAGGAUCUGGACAGAGAGGAAGAUGCUUUCUUUACCUCACUUUCUGCAGUACAUAAGAAACGGGUAUUGCUGAGUGGCAGUGCGGCAUGUAUGUGCUCUAUGUAAACUAUCAGACAGCUCUCUCCAUCCAGGCUGCAGACACACACUUUCUAGAUAGGUGUUGAGCUGCUCAACAUGUAUCCCUCUCCUAGACCCUGCUGCCAGCAUGUGGUAAGUUGUAGCACACUGCUACGACCCCAUAUGAAUUGCAGUGGGCUCCUCUCCAGCUCAACGUCUCGUUCUUCGUUGUGCACCGAGCGGAGCUGCCCACAUGGUGCUUUUAUUCCAGGAGGAUGGAGCAAAAUAUCUGCACCUGCUCUUCUGUGCAGCGCUGUGCAGGUACCUUUGCAGACAUCUUGUCAGCAGUGUCACACGUGGCCAGGGCAGAACAGCUAUUAGCAGAAUUUAUGAUUCCGUUGUACAGCUGCACCAUUCUCUGUGAAUAUGUAGUGAGGAAAAGGAAAUGGAGCUGCUCCCUCUGGGUGCUGUCCUAAAAAAGAGGAUUCCCCAGCUGACUGAACCCAGGCACUGCUGAGGACGGUCUGACAAACACUGGCCCUGCACCUGGGCUUAGCGAGCUGCCUUCCUCUCACCGAGCAGUUCAUCUCCCUGUUUGACACAUGUGGCAGAGGUGUAGCUUCUCGAAUGCCUUCUCAGCAGCACACAGCUCCAGAGCUCUUGGAUGGGGCCUCUGCCCCAGGGCCUCCCCCGGCACCUUUCCCCACAACAGGUGCAGCCCCUCCCUGGAGCUCUCAGCGAGGCUGUGCCCUGUGUUUGCCAUGGGGGUUGGCACUGUUACCUCCUCACCAGAAGUCGGGAAGAACAAGAAAGCUGGGGAAUAACUGCCUGACUGGUCUGUGUUAGCACACGGGACUUAACGAAGGCAGUACUGUGUGGAGCAGGGAACAUGUCUGAGACCAGUCUUUGACCUUACAGUUCAUCAGCUUUCAUUCUGGUGCUUGUGCCUCAGUGCUGAGUGAGUACAGAGUUAUGGAAGGGAGCCCCGCUGCUACAUAUUAACAUCCCGUCACAGGGUCCUCUUUCUCCUCUGGGUGAGGUAAAGGUCUCUGAGAUGUGCAUGGGUUUGUUUCAAGUGGUGUCCUGGCAAUUUGGGAAAGGAAAGCUGAGGAAGCAGCCCAUGGGGGGACUUGCCACCAGUAAACAGGCUGGGUACUGAGUUCGGGUACUGAGUUCAGCAGAGGGUACACUGAAAAACGAAAGCAGCAUCGUCUGCAGCGGUGCCUGGCCCGAUUCAGCUCUCUCACUGACAGAUGUGGGGUGGCUGGGUUGGCUUCUCCGGGCCCAGGACUUCAGGGUUGGGCCUGGGGUUGCUUCUGGAGAUGGGGAUAGGUUGCACCAGGGAGCUGUCUCACGCUGCGUGGACCUGGGAAGGGGCUGCAUGGCCCUCAGCAUGAGGUGUGAGUGGUGGCACCUGCUUGUAUAGGUCUUCUCUUAUUUUGGGUGUCAGAUGGCCACUGGAAGGGUCACUCUUGCUGACCGUUUGGGCCCCUCUCCUGGUGCAGAAAGCUGUGGGCUGGGUGAGGAACAGCAAAUCUUCCAUUUGUGAACAUCUUCCUCAGCAGCGGUAUGCGUAACAGCAGCAGCAACGUGCUGCGCUAUCGCAGGCCAAAAGGCCUAUGGAAAAAUACGUGUGACAGGGAAGAGGAAGAAGCAGUGUGCUGCAAUGCAGCAGGAAGGCGUCUGUCCUGUGCCACUGCUCAUCGCAGUGGGUCUGAAGGUGUAGGUGUACUCAGUGAGUACUCCUGUUAGAAGGUGGUGGAGCAUUUGGCUUUGGUGCUGUUUCUUGCCUACGUUAAUGCACUGCAGGCUGGAACUUGGAAAGAACUUGGCAGAGUGAAGAGGAAAUGAAAAUGAUAAUUUUUCAUGUAAUAGAGAUCACAUAGAGAUUGCCUUUGUUGUUCACAGCAUUUCCAUUCCAGGAUGCUCGGAGAAUUAAAGCAUACAAAUAGAGAAAAUCUGCAAAGCGUUGUCAGGUAUUAUUUAUGUAUUAUUAUUUUUGUUGGAAGAGACAUGUAAAUAUAAAGAAUUAGAAAAAG
Molecule: long non-coding RNA, 2850 nt
Organism: Gallus gallus (chicken)
Lineage: Eukaryota; Metazoa; Chordata; Aves; Galliformes; Phasianidae
Source: Ensembl